UGGUGGAGCGAUUUGUCUGGUUUAUUCCGAUAACGAACGAGACUCUGACCUACUAAAUAGUGGGCGGAUUCUUCCUGUCCUCAACACUUCUUAGAGGGACAAGCGGUGUUCAGCCGCACGAGAUUGAGCAAUAACA
This 136-nucleotide ribosomal RNA is filed under the name uncultured eukaryote. RNAcentral's name for it is "partial 18S ribosomal RNA". It matches the Rfam family "Eukaryotic small subunit ribosomal RNA", at positions 1299 to 1458 of the family's 1831-position model. The record is from RNAcentral.